Molecule: long non-coding RNA, 373 nt
Organism: Dryobates pubescens (Downy woodpecker)
Lineage: Eukaryota; Metazoa; Chordata; Aves; Piciformes; Picidae
Exons: 5
Source: RefSeq, a predicted model, not a curated record
AUGCAUCAGCCACAUCCAUGCUAUCUCCUAAAGCAGUCAUUCUGAAAACCAAUCUGGGGACAGUGCAGACUAAAUAAAAUUUCAUUUUGAUUUGGCCUCCCGCUGAGAAUGGGACUGCUUUGUUUCAGCCGACAGAACCAGCAAGCCAGAAAGGUGUUGAUAACACAAAUACUGACUUAACGGAAAAUUAUGAUGAAUUAUUUUUCUUAAGAGGGCAAUGUAAGUUGUGGUAAAGGAAAAUAAUCCUAGCUCCAGAAUGCUCUUACUCAUACUCCUGGGAGUAACCCACAAAAUCUUGGUGCAGAGAGCGGCCACGGGAGGUACCAGGAAACAUUGGGAUCAAAUAUGUUGUCCGAAUUGCGUGAUUAAACUG